UAAACUUUCAGAGGACUCUAUGCAUCUUGCUCAUGGCUUAAUCUUGGCUACCCUGGCCUUCCUCCUCACUCUUGCAGUCCUGCACUCAGAGGCUAAUGAAAGUGAGAGCGGCUACUCUCAUUGCUCUGAACAAAGAGAACUCAGGGGCUGGAGACUGAAGGUGGGGGUGGGCAGGGUCGGGGGCUGCAGUGAGGAGGUGUGUGUGGUCUGGAAAACAUGGUCUGGGGUUCCUGCCAAACAGACAGUGUCUUUCCCAAGGGUGUCUCCCCAUUUCUGGUCAGGGCUCACUUCUGCCUCUCCUGGGCUGGGGAAAACCUGCCUCUGAAAACAGCCUUCCUGGCCUUUGGUCCCAGCCUCGAGAAGCUGACCCAGAGCCCUCCGGGUGUCUGCUCAGCUGCGUCCAGGCAGGAGCAGAAUCUGGGCGAGAGGAAGCCACAAAGGAUCGCACUCUCUUCAUGGCUUAGACAGGGUCUGACCAUAUUUGGAUGGUUGCCAACAUUGAAAAACUGGAAACAUUAAAAACCCCUAUUGCCCCUUUCUUUCACAGAUAUGGAAGACCAAGCAGACACGAGCCCGAGUCUCCACAAGCUCACCUCCAACUGGGACUGAGGUGGGGGUGCUGCCCCCUUAGACAGGGGGCGCUGCCCAGGCCUCAGGGUGCCCACUGCCCGCCACACCCAGCUGCUGUCCGCGUGGUCUCGGGGCAUUUGAGCCUGAGUCACCCAGGUCCACUUCCCUCCUCUCCCCGCAAGACCUGUCCAGUGUGUUCACAGCCCAGAGCCGUGUGCUGAGCUCUCAGUAAAUACCUGUGCUACCGGAAGAGGAAGCAGCAGGUGACUGUGAAAGAGGCAGGGCCAAACCCCAGUGUCCUGACCCCCAGCUCACUGCCCUCAGCAGGCCUGCUUGCCUCUCUGCAGGGGGCUGGGGCCAGGGGAGAAGGUGGNNNNNNNNNNCUCUCCUGAAGCUUUGCUGUGAAGCUCCGCCUCCUGGGGCCAGAGGAGACUGUGGCCCUCGGAAAGCAUCUGUCGUCUCCUUGCAGGCGCUCAGGUCUUGAAAUAAAUCUGUGCUGCAGAAAGGGACUGGUGGCUUAAAUUGGUUCUCUCCAUGAGAGCCUGGUCAUUUCUUUGAUUUUAUAGACACAUCUAUGGUAUUUACUGCAUAUCCGGGGCCUUGUAAACAUUUCAGUAGGAGUAGACAUAAAUAGUGGAAUGAUGGGGGUGUAGUUAGAAUCAGGGGGAUGAACAGUGACCCCAGUUCAGGGUCCUUAGAUAAGAGGACCAGUGUAAAUACAGACGACCAUGGGGAGACCCUCUGUUUGCAUGUGCAGAGCUGAGGUGCACUCCAAACACACCUCCUCACUCCCUCGUCCAAGUGGGCGGUGCGGCUCACCCUUGCUAGAAAGCUCUGCCCAGGUCUCUGCCAUUCAAAGCAUUUACUUCUCUGUCCACC
This 1449-nucleotide long non-coding RNA is filed under the name Cervus hanglu yarkandensis (Yarkand deer). RNAcentral's name for it is "lncRNA (ENSCHYG00000003549.1)". The record is from RNAcentral. Lineage: Eukaryota; Metazoa; Chordata; Mammalia; Artiodactyla; Cervidae.